GAUGAACGCUGGCGGCGUGCUUAACACAUGCAAGUCGAACGGAAAGGCCCAAGCUUGCUUGGGUACUCGAGUGGCGAACGGGUGAGUAACACGUGGGUGAUCUGCCCUGCACUUCGGGAUAAGCCUGGGAAACUGGGUCUAAUACCGGAUAGGACCACAUUUUGGAUGGUGUGGUGGAAAGUUUUUCGGUGUGGGAUGAGCUCGCGGCCUAUCAGCUUGUUGGUGGGGUAAUGGCCUACCAAGGCGUCGACGGGUAGCCGGCCUGAGAGGGUGUACGGCCACAUUGGGACUGAGAUACGGCCCAGACUCCUACGGGAGGCAGCAGUGGGGAAUAUUGCACAAUGGGCGCAAGCCUGAUGCAGCGACGCCGCGUGGGGGAUGACGGCCUUCGGGUUGUAAACUCCUUUCGCUAGGGACGAAGCGUAAGUGACGGUACCUGGAGAAGAAGCACCGGCUAACUACGUG
This 465-nucleotide ribosomal RNA is filed under the name uncultured bacterium. RNAcentral describes it as "partial 16S ribosomal RNA". It matches the Rfam family "Bacterial small subunit ribosomal RNA", at positions 28 to 507 of the family's 1533-position model. The record is from RNAcentral.